This is a long non-coding RNA of Octopus sinensis (East Asian common octopus), 427 nucleotides long. RefSeq lists it as uncharacterized. Lineage: Eukaryota; Metazoa; Mollusca; Cephalopoda; Octopoda; Octopodidae. The record is from RefSeq and is a predicted model, not a curated record. The transcript has 2 exons.
UGUGUGUCUUGCCUAAGAUUUACAGAUUUGCUUGACUGAGUUAGGUAGAGUUGUGUGUUUUGUCUAAGGUUUACAACAGAGGUUGACUGGUGGAGGUAGAGUUGUGUGUCUUGCCUAAGAUUUACAGAUUUGCUUGACUGAGUUAGGUAGAGUUGUGUGUUUUGUCUAAGGUUUACAACAGAGGUUGACUGGUGGAGGUAGAGUUGUGUGUCUUGCCUAAGAUUUACAGAUUUGCUUGACUGAGUUAGGUAGAGUUGUGUGUUUUGUCUAAGGUUUACAACAGAGAUUGACUGGUGGAGGUAGAGUUGUGUGUCUUGCCUAAUGUUUUUAGCUGAAAGGGAGAAAGGUUGAUGCAUAUAGAGUAUGAAGGCAUACGCUCAAGGUGCUUGAAGGUAGAUAUACUCUUUGAUAAUUCAAUUUGUGGGGG